GGAUGGGUGCCGGAGCGGUUUAACGGAACAGUCUUGAAAACUGUCGUAUCCUAACGGGUACCGUGAGUUCGAAUCUCACCCCAUCCGCCA
RNAcentral lists this transfer RNA (90 nucleotides) under bacterium. RNAcentral describes it as "tRNA-Ser". It matches the Rfam family "tRNA". Rfam says of the family: Transfer RNA (tRNA) molecules are approximately 80 nucleotides in length. Their secondary structure includes four short double-helical elements and three loops (D, anti-codon, and T loops). The record is from RNAcentral. RNAcentral also lists the same sequence under 1 other name.